UUCCAGACUCCUACGGGAGGCAGCAGUGAGGAAUAUUGGUCAAUGGCCGAGAGGCUGAACCAGCCAAGUCGCGUGAGGGAUGACGGCCCUACGGGUUGUAAACCUCUUUUGCCGGGGAGCAGAGAGCGGGACGCGUCCCGCCUCGAGAGUACCCGGAGAAAAAGCAUCGGCUAACUCCGUGCCAGCAGCCGCGGUAAUACGGAGGAUGCGAGCGUUAUCCGGAUUUAUUGGGUUUAAAGGGUGCGUAGGCGGAAUAUCAAGUCAGCGGUAAAAAUUCGGGGCUCAACCCCGUCGUGCCGUUGAAACUGGCGGCCUCGAGUGGGCGAGAAGUAUGCGGAAUGCGUGGUGUAGCGGUGAAAUGCAUAGAUAUCACGCAGAACUCCGAUUGCGAAGGCAGCAUACCGGCGCCCGACUGACGCUGAGGCACGAAAGCGUGGGUAUCGAACAGGAUUAGAUACCCCCGUACU
Molecule: ribosomal RNA, 467 nt
Filed under: uncultured bacterium
Lineage: Bacteria
Description: bacterial SSU rRNA
Rfam family: Bacterial small subunit ribosomal RNA
Source: RNAcentral